This 305-nucleotide ribosomal RNA is filed under the name uncultured bacterium. RNAcentral's name for it is "bacterial SSU rRNA". It matches the Rfam family "Bacterial small subunit ribosomal RNA", at positions 333 to 655 of the family's 1533-position model. The record is from RNAcentral.
AAGCACCUACGGGAGGCAGCAGUGGGGAAUAUUGCACAAUGGGGGAAACCCUGAUGCAGCGACGCCGCGUGAGUGAAGAAGUAUCUCGGUACGUAAAGCUCUAUCAGCAGGGAAGAAAAUGACGGUACCUGACUAAGAAGCCCCGGCUAACUACGUGCCAGCAGCCGCGGUAAUACGUAGGGGGCAAGCGUUAUCCGGAUUUACUGGGUGUAAAGGGAGCGUAGGCGGCGAUGCAAGUCAGAAGUGAAAGCCCGGGGCUCAACUCCGGGACUGCUUUUGAAACUGUAUGGCUAGAUUGCAGGAGA